RNAcentral lists this ribosomal RNA (230 nucleotides) under uncultured bacterium. RNAcentral's name for it is "partial 16S ribosomal RNA". It matches the Rfam family "Bacterial small subunit ribosomal RNA", at positions 118 to 347 of the family's 1533-position model. The record is from RNAcentral.
UGAGGAACAUGACCUUCGGCGGGGAUAGCCGGCCCAACGGCCGGGUAAUACCGCGUACGACCACAUGGGGACAUCCCUGAGUGGUGAAAGCAGCAAUGCGCCGAUGGAGUGCCUCGCGGCCUAUCAGCUAGUUGGUGAGGUAACGGCUCACCAAGGCGACGACGGGUAGCUGGUCUGAGAGGAUGGCCAGCCACAUUGGGACUGAGACACGGCCCAGACCUGUACGGGAG